GACAGAGGUCCCGAGCGUUAGGCGGAAUUACUGGGCGUAAAGCGCGUGUAGGCAGCUCGGAAAGUCGGGUGUGAAAGCCCUGGGCUUAACCUAGGAAGUGCACUCGAAACUUCCGAGCUUGAGUUCUGGAGAGGAAGGCGGAAUUCUCGGUGUAGAGGUGAAAUUCGUAGAUAUCGAGAGGAACACCGGUGGCGAAGGCGGCCUUCUGGACAGUGACUGACGCUGAGACGCGAAAGCUAGGGGAGCAAACGGG
RNAcentral lists this ribosomal RNA (253 nucleotides) under uncultured bacterium. RNAcentral describes it as "partial 16S ribosomal RNA". It matches the Rfam family "Bacterial small subunit ribosomal RNA", at positions 524 to 776 of the family's 1533-position model. The record is from RNAcentral.